AUUGAACGCUGGCGGCAUGCCUUACACAUGCAAGUCGAACGGCAGCACGGGUGCUUGCACCUGGUGGCGAGUGGCGAACGGGUGAGUAAUGCAUCGGAACGUACCCGGAAGUGGGGGAUAACGUAGCGAAAGUUACGCUAAUACCGCAUAUUCUGUGAGCAGGAAAGCGGGGGAUCUUCGGACCUCGUGCUUUCGGAGCGGCCGGUGUCGGAUUAGCUAGUUGGUGAGGUAAAGGCUCACCAAGGCGACGAUCCGUAGCGGGUCGGAGAGGAUGAUCCGCCACACUGGGAAUGAGACACGGCCCAGACUCCUACGGGAGGCAGCAGUGGGGAAUUUUGGACAAUGGGGGCAACCCUGAUCCAGCCAUGCCGCGUGAGUGAAGAAGGCCUUCGGGUUGUAAAGCUCUUUUGUCAGGGAAGAAAUGGUCUGGGCUAAUACCCUGGGCAGAUGACGGUACCUGAAGAAUAAGCACCGGCUAACUACGUGCCAGCAGCCGCGGUAA
RNAcentral lists this ribosomal RNA (502 nucleotides) under uncultured bacterium. Its description in RNAcentral is "partial 16S ribosomal RNA". It matches the Rfam family "Bacterial small subunit ribosomal RNA", at positions 30 to 523 of the family's 1533-position model. The record is from RNAcentral.